UCUUUCUCUCUCUUUCACCAUCUAAAAACCCUAAUCACAUUCUUCUCCUUCAUGCCUGUUGUUCAUCCUCCUCCUUCUGCUUCAACUUCCCAUCUGACGUUCUUUCUAUCAACAAACCCUAAUGAAUAAUAUACCCGAUCAAUCCGUUCUUUAGUUUCUUCAUUCCUUUUUCAAACCCUAAAACUCCAGCCGUACAGAGAUUGAAGAGAUUCACCAGGUGGAGAUGGCAGAGGAAGCGGUAUCUUUUGUGGGUAGUUCCUGAUUGGUGACCCUAAAACAGGUGAUAUCCUGCUUAGAUCAGAAAGUGCAUGUAUUAUUCCGGCCAAAUCACGACGGCUAAGGUAUACCACCCUACCAACCGACGAAGACGUUGAAUGGAAUAGUCAGUUGUGCUUCGGCUAGGGUUCCGCUGCGAACCUGAUGACGAGAUGAUCGGAGGUUGUCGGCUCUGCUGCCUGCACUUCUCUUGGUUAAUUUUUGGUCAGUUCUCAUAUGGCGUUACUCAUUUCUUAACAAGGUGGCUGCCAACUUAUGGAAGACUUCUUUACGGUAUUAAGAAAGAGUAUGCGUAGGGGCCACAGUUUAUCUGAUAUAGCCUUUUUAAACGGUGACUCAAGGGUACUUGCUUCUGACACAUGUGGGGCAAUAAGUAUGUUGGACAGAAGAUUGAGUGAUCUUCCACGAAGUGUGCUGACAACUAAGAAGAACACCAGCCUUACUAGCAUCCAGUUACUUGGAGAUCAAUAUGUAUGGUGCUAGCAAGAGUGGGUUUAUAAAUAUAUAUAUAUAUAUAUAUAUAUAUAUAUAUAUAUAUAUGGGAUCUACGUGGUGGAGGAUCACCCGCUGCUUCUCAAAGUGACAAGGAGCCGGCAGGUGCACUCUUCCCACUAACAUCAGUUAACUUAGAAUCUAUUCUGAAUGAAAUUGGGCCUCUAAAGGCACAAUCAAACAGUCGACCAAAGUAAAUACAUAAUCUAUCAACAUUAAUCCAUCCUGUCCAUAUCAGCUGGGAUUCCAUCUUGAUGAUGGUUGGUAUGGUGUUUUGGAUAUGCAUAAUUACUGAGUGUUAUCCAUAGCCCUCCCCCUCCUCCGUGGCUGUGGUAGGUGCAGUUUAAGGAAGAGUACCAGUUCUGUUUGAUGGAGGAUAAGGCGAGGAACAGAUGUAUUCAAAGUUGAUCGCUCUGGAUACACAUGCGGUUACGGAAUUUUACCUGCAAAUGUGAAGCUAAAAGGGAUUGUGUUGUAGCACUGUCAGCUUGUCCCCAUGCCAAAGCCAGUACAUGUUCCAGUGCCAGAGUUAGAUGAUGUGGAAGCUGUCAGGCAAAUAUUGGUUCAGUCAACUGAUUUGGGAGCAGUCCAAGGCACUUAUAUACUGCAACUAACUGCCAUAUGGAUAUGAUGGACUUUCUUUAGUCGAAUGCUUCAUAUCUUUACACAAGAAGAAUUCUUGUAUAGUUAUCAAAGGUGCUAGGUGCCCCCAAGGUGUAUAGGCAUCGCCUGGGGCCUAGGCGCAAAGCGCAAAAAAAAGCGAAAAAAAAGCGCACUUAAAUGAAACAAGCCAGAUGCUGAGAUGUAUGCCUCUUUUACACAAUAUUGUAAAAUUACAUUAUUUAAUGUUAUCGUUCAAUCGGUUACUAAUUUUACCUAUCC
Molecule: long non-coding RNA, 1650 nt
Filed under: Helianthus annuus (common sunflower)
Lineage: Eukaryota; Viridiplantae; Streptophyta; Magnoliopsida; Asterales; Asteraceae
Source: RNAcentral